This 105-nucleotide ribosomal RNA is filed under the name uncultured bacterium. RNAcentral describes it as "partial 16S ribosomal RNA". It matches the Rfam family "Bacterial small subunit ribosomal RNA", at positions 1379 to 1482 of the family's 1533-position model. The record is from RNAcentral.
CCUUGUACACACCGCCCGUCACACCACGGGAGUCGAUUGGUCCCGAAGUGCGUAAGCUAACCCGCAAGGAGGCAGCGUCCUAAGGAAUGGUCGGUGACUGGGGUG